UCCUACGGGAGGCAGCAGUGGGGAAUUUUGGACAAUGGGCGAAAGCCUGAUCCAGCCAUGCCGCGUGCAGGAUGGAGGCCUUCGGGUUGUAAACUGCUUUUGUACGGAACGAAAAGACUCUGGUUAAUACCUGGGGUCCAUGACGGUACCGUAAGAAUAAGCACCGGCUAACUACGUGCCAGCAGCCGCGGUAAUACGUAGGGUGCAAGCGUUAAUCGGAAUUACUGGGCGUAAAGCGUGCGCAGGCGGUUAUAUAAGACAGAUGUGAAAUCCCCGGGCUCAACCUGGGAACUGCAUUUGUGACUGUAUAGCUAGAGUACGGCAGAGGGGGAUGGAAUUCCGCGUGUAGCAGUGAAAUGCGUAGAUAUGCGGAGGAACACCGAUGGCGAAGGCAAUCCCCUGGGCCUGUACUGACGCUCAUGCACGAAAGCGUGGGGAGCAAACAGGAUUAGAUACCCUGGUAGUCCACGCCCUAAACGAUGCGAACUGGAUGUUGGGUUCAACUUGGAACCCAGUAUCGAAGCUAACGCGUUAAGUUCACCGCCUGGGGAGUACGGUCGCAAGACUAAAACUCAAAUGAAUUGACGGA
This 589-nucleotide ribosomal RNA is filed under the name uncultured bacterium. RNAcentral describes it as "bacterial SSU rRNA". It matches the Rfam family "Bacterial small subunit ribosomal RNA", at positions 337 to 917 of the family's 1533-position model. The record is from RNAcentral.